GUGGGGAAUCUUGCGCAAUGGGCGAAAGCCUGACGCAGCCAUGCCGCGUGGAUGAUGAAGGUCUUAGGAUUGUAAAAUCCUUUCGCCGGUGAAGAUAAUGACUGUAGCCGGAGAAGAAGCCCCGGCUAACUUCGUGCCAGCAGCCGCGGUAAUACGAAGGGGGCUAGCGUUGCUCGGAAUUACUGGGCGUAAAGGGAGCGUAGGCGGACAUUUAAGUCAGGGGUGAAAUCCCGAGGCUCAACCUCGGAACUGCCUUUGGUACUGGGUGUCUUGAGUGUGAGAGAGGUGAGUGGAACUCCGAGUGUAGAGGUGAAAUUCGUAGAUAUUCGGAAGAACACCAGUGGCGAAGGCGACUCACUGGCUCAUUACUGACGCUGAGGCUCGAAAGCGUGGGGAGCAAACAGGAUUAGAAACCCUGGUAGUCC
Molecule: ribosomal RNA, 425 nt
Filed under: uncultured bacterium
Lineage: Bacteria
Description: partial 16S ribosomal RNA
Rfam family: Bacterial small subunit ribosomal RNA
Source: RNAcentral